Molecule: ribosomal RNA, 472 nt
Filed under: uncultured bacterium
Lineage: Bacteria
Description: partial 16S ribosomal RNA
Rfam family: Bacterial small subunit ribosomal RNA
Source: RNAcentral
GACGAACGCUGGCGGCUUGCUUAACACAUGCGAGUCGAACGCUGAAGCUUGGUGCUUGCACUGGGUGGAUGAGUGGCGAACGGGUGAGUAAUACGUGAGUAACCUGCCCUUGACUCUGGGAUAAGCCUGGGAAACUGGGUCUAAUACUGGAUACGACAUGCCACUGCAUGGUGGUGUGUGGAAAGGGUUUUACUGGUUUUGGAUGGGCUCACGGCCUAUAAGCUUGUUGGUGGGGUAAUGGCCUACCAAGGCGACGACGGGUAGCCGGCCUGAGAGGGUGACCGGCCACACUGGGACUGAGACACGGCCCAGACUCCUACGGGAGGCAGCAGUGGGGAAUAUUGCACAAUGGGCGGAAGCCUGAUGCAGCGACGCCGCGUGAGGGAUGACGGCCUUCGGGUUGUAAACCUCUUUCAGCACGGAAGAAGCGAGAGUGACGGUACGUGCAGAAGAAGCGCCGGCUAAAUACGUG